Molecule: ribosomal RNA, 569 nt
Filed under: uncultured bacterium
Lineage: Bacteria
Description: partial 16S ribosomal RNA
Rfam family: Bacterial small subunit ribosomal RNA
Source: RNAcentral
UGGGGAAUAUUGCACAAUGGGCGCAAGCCUGAUGCAGCCAUGCCGCGUGUGUGAAGAAGGCCUUCGGGUUGUAAAGCACUUUCAGCGAGGAGGAAGGUGGUGAGCUUAAUACGCUCAUCAAUUGACGUUACUCGCAGAAGAAGCACCGGCUAACUCCGUGCCAGCAGCCGCGGUAAUACGGAGGGUGCAAGCGUUAAUCGGAAUUACUGGGCGUAAAGCGCACGCAGGCGGUUUGUUAAGUCAGAUGUGAAAUCCCCGGGCUCAACCUGGGAACUGCAUUUGAAACUGGCAAGCUAGAGUCUCGUAGAGGGGGGUAGAAUUCCAGGUGUAGCGGUGAAAUGCGUAGAGAUCUGGAGGAAUACCGGUGGCGAAGGCGGCCCCCUGGACGAAGACUGACGCAUCAGGUGCGAAAGCGUGGGGCAGCAAACAGGAUUAGAUACCCCUGGUAGUCCACGCUGUAAACGAUGUCGAUUUUGGAGGUUGUGCCCUUGAGGCGUGGCUUCCGGAGCUAACGCGUUAAAUCGACCGCCUGGGGAGUACGGCCGCAAGGUUAAAACUCAAAUGAAUUG